GGCAGGAUCCUUAGGAGACAUAAUUAACAGUUUGAGCUGGUUCACAAAAGGCAGGUGUUUUUGUGGAUCCGUAUAUUUUAAUUUCAUGCUCUGUUAAGGUGAAGGAAAUGUAACGUUGCAAUGCACUAAUAAAACGGCCAAGAAUAGAGGGAUUUGUUCCCCAGCCCCUGGUCUUUUUUGGAUGUGAGAGGUUACUAACUCAUUCUCUUUGGCAAAGCAGGUGGCAGACAGUGCAAACAGAGCCCAGCCUGAGAGCUGUGAUAUGCAAGACUCUUCUGCCCUCACGGAGUGAACCUGCUUGGAAUCCAUCUACGCCGGCUGGACCUGUCCUGUGGCCAGCCGCAGAGCUAAAAGAUGGAUGAAUAAUGCUGAGUGCUCAUUGGCUGGUCUAUGAAAGUUCUGGAGGCUGGGAAGUCUAAGAUGAAGGCAGCAAGGUAUUGGCAGAUCCUGAGUCUGGUGAAGACCUGCUUCCUGGUUUGCAGACAGCUGUCUCCUUGCACCCACACAUGGUGGAGAGCAGAGGGAGAGCGGGACAGAAACUUACAUGGAGGAGAGACAUCUGAGAGUGAAAUCAAAAUUGAGCAGCAUGUGGACAGCAGAGAAAAAAGGAAGGAGAAAGUCCAGAUAGAAGUAGAAGAGGAGGACACCAGGAAAAUUCAGAGUAAGCCGUCGGAUUUUUGCACAUUCCAGAAAUGACGACAACAGAAGAGGGAAUUCUGAGAAAUGCAGAAAGCUAUUCUGAACCUUGCCUCCUACUAAAGGCUUAGGAGAAAAUAAAUUCGUACAAAAGUGAGCAACAAGUACAAUUCAAGGUCAAGCCCAUUCAGAGGUAAUAGAAGAAAAACUGAGAAUAAUAAUAUCCUCAAAAGGCAAUGAACACCUGCCAGAAAGUCAAGCCCAGAAAACUAUAAUCCACUCUUUCAAAAUGAACAAAAUGACAUUUGGAAAGUGAUACAUGACAUGAAAGAAUUACAUACAUUAGAAUUGGAAAAACCUCAAAAGGAAAACACCAAACUCAGGAAAGAUUUAGGAAUAAAAUUUAGGAAUAAAAAGUAGAAAGGGAGCAAUGUAUUAUCAAUGUGCAAGAACUUGGUGAAUAUUGUUCACAUUUUCCUUCCUGAAAAGUAAACCAGAGAAUGAGCUUCCCGUCACCAAGGGAACUGGAGAGACAUUCACAUAAAGACUGGUGGUGAGCACUGAGUGUACAGUCAUGUGCAGCAUUAAUGCUAAAGGAGGUUGAAAAGGAGAGAGUAGAGUAUUUACAGGUAUUUCUCUGCUGUGACGGAGAAAAAAGGGAGGGGAUGAGAAGCGCAUAGUUAGAAAAUUACUUCAUUAAUUUCCGUAAUUAUAUCGGUAGUUGUACUGGUAUUGGCAUUCGGAAGUUGUUGGGUGUAUGUUGUGAAAUGAAACAAAUAAAUAAUCAUCUGGUUCUGAGGAUUCCAUCAGGAUUCUUAGGAUGGAGCAAAGGAGAUACAGAUCUGAUAUGUGAAAGCAUGCUACAUAUAAAUUAGAUACAUCUGUAUCAUCUCAUGAAGUAUUUUAUCUUUAACACACACAUAUAAACAGGAACCUAGGAGCGUUCGAGGUUCUUUACACUUAAAAGCCUUAGAAGCAAUGACUUACCCACAA
Molecule: long non-coding RNA, 1629 nt
Organism: Camelus dromedarius (Arabian camel)
Lineage: Eukaryota; Metazoa; Chordata; Mammalia; Artiodactyla; Camelidae
Exons: 4
Source: RefSeq, a predicted model, not a curated record